UGGUAGUCCAGCAAAGGCAGAGAAAACAGCUCCCUGUAGUGGAAAACUCCAGUCUUUUAACUGCUCUAUGCAUGGCUAUGUCUAUGAUCUUUUAUGUUGAAUUUCCCAUGCUGUUAAUACAAGUGUACUUCCAGUAGUACCACCAGAAAGCUGCAGUCUCAAUUCUUACACAGGAGUAAUUCAGAGAAACUGAAUAUGUAAAUGCAUUUGAGAUGGGAAUGUGAUGCUGGCAUAGAAAGAAACAGCAACUGAGUGGAAUUCAGGUUUUUCAAGUCCUCAGUCAGCACCAUCACCACUGUGCCUUCUUCAGACAGGAGCAAGGGUAGACAUGGGAAGGAUUAAACUCCAAUGUGCCACUGGGGGCAUCACUUGGUACUUGGGGCAUGAAGAGACU
RNAcentral lists this long non-coding RNA (394 nucleotides) under Anas platyrhynchos platyrhynchos (common mallard). RNAcentral's name for it is "lncRNA (ENSAPLG00000024323.1)". Lineage: Eukaryota; Metazoa; Chordata; Aves; Anseriformes; Anatidae. The record is from RNAcentral.